ACGCACGCUGGCGGCAUGCCUAACACAUGCAAGUCGAACGCGACCUUCGGGUCUAGUGGCGCACGGGUGCGUAACGCGUGGGAACCUGCCCUUAGGUUCGGAAUAACUCCCCGAAAGGGGUGCUAAUACCGGAUAAUGUCUUCGGACCAAAGAUUUAUCGCCUUUGGAUGGGCCCGCGUUGGAUUAGCUAGUUGGUAGGGUAAAAGCCUACCAAGGCGACAAUCCAUAGCUGGUCUGAGAGGAUGAUCAGCCACACUGGGACUGAGACACGGCCCAGACUCCUACGGGAGGCAGCAGUGGGGAAUAUUGGACAAUGGGCGAAAGCCUGAUCCAGCAAUGCCGCGUGAGUGAUGAAGGCCUUAGGGUUGUAAAGCUCUUUUACCCGGGAUGAUAAUGACAGUACCGGGAGAAUAAGCUCCGGCUAACUCCGUG
This 432-nucleotide ribosomal RNA is filed under the name uncultured bacterium. Its description in RNAcentral is "partial 16S ribosomal RNA". It matches the Rfam family "Bacterial small subunit ribosomal RNA", at positions 29 to 507 of the family's 1533-position model. The record is from RNAcentral.